RNAcentral lists this ribosomal RNA (256 nucleotides) under uncultured bacterium. RNAcentral's name for it is "partial 16S ribosomal RNA". It matches the Rfam family "Bacterial small subunit ribosomal RNA", at positions 524 to 776 of the family's 1533-position model. The record is from RNAcentral.
UACGUAGGGGGGCAAGCGUUUGUCCGGAAUCAUUGGGCGUAAAGCGCGUGUAGGCGGUCCGGUAAGUCCGCUGUGAAAGUCGGGGGCUUAACCCUCGGAUGCCGGUGGAUACUGUCGGGCUUGAGUACGGAAGAGGCGAGUGGAAUUCCUGGUGUAGCGGUGAAAUGCGCAGAUAUCAGGAAGAAACACCCGUGGCGAAGGCGGCUCUCUGGGACGGUACUGACGCUGAGACGCGAAAGCGUGGGGAGCGAACAGG